RNAcentral lists this long non-coding RNA (354 nucleotides) under Vitis vinifera (wine grape). Its description in RNAcentral is "long non-coding RNA (VVIN_LNC001101)". The record is from RNAcentral. Lineage: Eukaryota; Viridiplantae; Streptophyta; Magnoliopsida; Vitales; Vitaceae.
AUGGGUAUUCCACUCAUGUCAUUUCCUCCUAGGAAGUUUUGGGUAUGGAUCAAAUACUUGCUUCUUGCAAGGUCUUCGUUGUGUUACCAAUGUCCAACCUUCUUCACUAUAUGACAUUGAUUCAUUAGUAAAGCAAAGUUGAAAAUAGGUGUCCUGAUAUGACAAUUAUGUUUUCUUUGGUUUUAGUGACUAGCAUUAAAUAGUAUUGGCACAUACCCCUAAUGUCUUAGGUGGAACAUGUGAUGGAAUGGGAUAGAAAUAGCCAAAUGCGACUAUAGCAUGAUUUGACUCUAUUACUUCAUCCAAAUCCAAACGAAUUCUUCUUUGUUUCAUAAGUUUCAUUAUGAGAUCUUU